RNAcentral lists this ribosomal RNA (259 nucleotides) under Microterricola sp. ISOM183_OTU891. Its description in RNAcentral is "partial 16S ribosomal RNA". It matches the Rfam family "Bacterial small subunit ribosomal RNA", at positions 29 to 289 of the family's 1533-position model. The record is from RNAcentral. Lineage: Bacteria; Bacillati; Actinomycetota; Actinomycetes; Micrococcales; Microbacteriaceae.
ACGAACGCGGCGGCGUGCUUAACACAUGCAAGUCGAACGAUGAAGGGGAGCUUGCUCCUUGGAUUAGUGGCGAACGGGUGAGUAACACGUGAGCAAUCUGCCCUUGACUCUGGGAUAAGCGUUGGAAACGACGUCUAAUACCGGAUAUGACCCUCGGAGGCAUCUCCUGGGGGUGGAAAGAAUUUUGGUCAAGGAUGAGCUCGCGGCCUAUCAGCUUGUUGGUGAGGUAAUGGCUCACCAAGGCGACGACGGGUAGCCG